Molecule: long non-coding RNA, 428 nt
Organism: Mauremys reevesii (Reeves's turtle)
Lineage: Eukaryota; Metazoa; Chordata; Testudines; Geoemydidae
Exons: 4
Source: RefSeq, a predicted model, not a curated record
ACUGGUUUCCUCCUGCUGUGGGCUGCAUGUGACCUGCCCUUACUUGUUGCGCCGCCGCUGUUCCUGCUGCAGCGGGGCACCGUGCGUUAGAACUACAGAGCCACGAGUAUAAGCGUAAGCAGCCAUCACAAAGGAAAAAUGGUUACAGCACAUAUCCUUGCAUUCCACACUGCGUUUCAAGGGGAAAAAAUAGGAUAGGUCCAUCAGUGAGGGUAGCAAUUUAAUUGUUUCUUCUCUGUCCUGAGGAAUUGCUCGGCAGUGCAGUGGGAGGCCAAUACACUUUUUCCACUUGCAGAGGCUGGUCAGAUUUAGUCACCAAUAAAACUUACAGUAAGCCUUAUAACCCAACUGUUGAUUUGGCAACUUCAUGUUCUUUCCUGGUAGCUAACACUCAGAUGUUCCUAUUUUUAAAUGUGAUUUCCCCAAAA